This 587-nucleotide ribosomal RNA is filed under the name uncultured haloarchaeon. RNAcentral describes it as "bacterial SSU rRNA". It matches the Rfam family "Archaeal small subunit ribosomal RNA", at positions 335 to 921 of the family's 1478-position model. The record is from RNAcentral. Lineage: Archaea; Methanobacteriati; Methanobacteriota; Halobacteria; Halobacteriales; Halobacteriaceae.
GCAGGCGCGAAACCUUUACACUGCACGACAGUGCGAUAGGGGGAUCCCAAGUGCACAGGCAUAGCGCCUGUGCUUUUCGGUACCCUAAGGCGGUACCAGAAUAAGGGCUGGGCAAGACCGGUGCCAGCCGCCGCGGUAAUACCGGCAGUCCAAGUGAUGGCCGAUCUUAUUGGGCCUAAAGCGUCCGUAGCUGGCCGUACAAGUCCAUCGGGAAAUCCACCUGCUCAACAGGUGGGCGCCCGGUAGAAACUGUGCGGCUUGGGACCGGAAGGCGCGACGGGUACGUCCGGGGUAGGAGUGAAAUCCCGUAAUCCUGGACGGACCGCCGAUGGCGAAAGCACGUCGCGAGAACGGAUCCGACAGUGAGGGACGAAAGCCAGGGUCUCGAACCGGAUUAGAUACCCGGGUAGUCCUGGCCGUAAACAAUGUCUGCUAGGUGUGGCUCCCACUACGAGUGGGUGCUGUGCCGUAGGGAAGCCGCUAAGCAGACCGCCUGGGAAGUACGUCCGCAAGGAUGAAACUUAAAGGAAUUGGCGGGGGAGCACUACAACCGGAGGAGCCUGCGGUUUAAUUGGAUUCAACGCCGG